This 323-nucleotide unclassified non-coding RNA is filed under the name uncultured bacterium. RNAcentral's name for it is "contains 16S-23S intergenic spacer region". The record is from RNAcentral.
UCCGAGUUGACCCCGGCAGUCUCCUGCGAGUCCCCGCCAUUACGCGCUGGCAACACAGGACAAGGGUUGCGCUCGUUGCGGGACUUAACCCAACAUCUCGCGACACGAGCUGACGACAGCCAUGCAGCACCUCGCUACCUGCCCGAAGGAAACCCCCUUUCAGGGGCUGUCAGGUAGCGUUCGAGCCUGGGUAAGGUUCUUCGCGUUGCAUCGAAUUAAGCCACAUGCUCCACCGCUUGUGCGGGCCCCCGUCAAUUCCUUUGAGUUUCACCCUUGCGAGCGUACUCCCCAGGUGGGAUGCUUAACGCGUUAGCCUAUCGAGA